CUGGCGGCAUGCCUUCACAUGCAAGUCGAACGGCAGCACGGGAGCAAUCCUGGUGGCGAGUGGCGAACGGGUGAGUAAUACAUCGGAACGUGUCCUGGAGUGGGGGAUAGCCCGGCGAAAGCCGGAUUAAUACCGCAUACGCUCUGUGGAGGAAAGGGGGGGGAUCUUCGGACCUCUCGCUCAAGGGGCGGCCGAUGGCAGAUUAGCUAGUUGGUGGGGUAAAGGCCUACCAAGGCGACGAUCUGUAGCUGGUCUGAGAGGACGACCAGCCACACUGGGACUGAGACACGGCCCAGACUCCUACGGGAGGCAGCAGUGGGGAAUUUUGGACAAUGGGCGCAAGCCUGAUCCAGCAAUGCCGCGUGUGUGAAGAAGGCCUUCGGGUUGUAAAGCACUUUUGUCCGGAAAGAAAACCUCGUGGUUAAUACCCGUGGGGGAUGACUUUACCGGAAGAAUAAUCACCGGCUAACUACGUGCCAGCAGCCGCUGUAAUACG
This 496-nucleotide ribosomal RNA is filed under the name uncultured bacterium. RNAcentral's name for it is "bacterial SSU rRNA". It matches the Rfam family "Bacterial small subunit ribosomal RNA", at positions 36 to 527 of the family's 1533-position model. The record is from RNAcentral.